This 454-nucleotide ribosomal RNA is filed under the name uncultured bacterium. RNAcentral's name for it is "bacterial SSU rRNA". It matches the Rfam family "Bacterial small subunit ribosomal RNA", at positions 340 to 786 of the family's 1533-position model. The record is from RNAcentral.
UACGGGCAGCAGUGGGGAAUAUUGCACAAUGGGCGAAAGCCUGAUGCAGCUAUGCCGCGUGUAUGAAGAAGGCCUUAGGGUUGUAAAGUACUUUCAUCGGGGAGGAAAAAACAAAACUAAUAAUUUUAUUUCUUGACGUUACCCGAAAAAGAAGCACCGGCUAACUCCGUGCCAGCAGCCGCGGUAAUACGGAGGGUGCUAGCGUUAAUCAGAAUUACUGGGCGUAAAGAGCACGUAGGUGGUUUUUUUAAAGUCAGAUGUGAAAUCCCUGGGCUUAACCUAGGAACUGCAUUUUGAAACUGAAAUACUAGAGUAUCGUAGAGGGAGGUAGAAUUCUAGGUGUAGCGGUGAAAUGCGUAGAUAUCUGGAGGAAUACCUGUGGCGAAAGCGGCCUCCUAAACGAAUACUGACACUGAGGUGCGAAAGCGUGGGGAGCAAACAGGGAUUAGAUACC